Molecule: ribosomal RNA, 77 nt
Filed under: Klebsiella aerogenes
Lineage: Bacteria; Pseudomonadati; Pseudomonadota; Gammaproteobacteria; Enterobacterales; Enterobacteriaceae
Also listed under: 8 other names
Source: RNAcentral
CCUGGCGGCGAUAGCGCGGUGGUCCCACCUGACCCCAUGCCGAACUCAGAAGUGAAACGCCGUAGCGCCGAUGGUAG